CCUACGGGUGGCAGCAGUGGGGAAUAUUGGACAAUGGGGGCAACCCUGAUCCAGCCAUGCCGCGUGUGUGAAGAAGGCCUUCGGGUUGUAAAGCACUUUAAGUUGGGAGGAAGGUUCGCUGGCUAAUAUCCAGCGGAAUUGACGUUACCAACAGAAUAAGCACCGGCUAACUCCGUGCCAGCAGCCGCGGUAAUACGGAGGGUGCAAGCGUUAAUCGGAAUUACUGGGCGUAAAGCGCACGUAGGUGGCUGAGUAAGUCGGAUGUGAAAGCCCUGGGCUCAACCUGGGAAUUGCAUUCGAUACUGUUCGGCUAGAGUACGGUAGAGGGAGGUAGAAUUCCUAGUGUAGCGGUGAAAUGCGUAGAUAUUAGGAGGAAUACCGGUGGCGAAGGCGGCCUCCUGGACUGAUACUGACACUGAGGUGCGAAAGCGUGGGGAGCA
This 440-nucleotide ribosomal RNA is filed under the name uncultured bacterium. RNAcentral's name for it is "bacterial SSU rRNA". It matches the Rfam family "Bacterial small subunit ribosomal RNA", at positions 338 to 770 of the family's 1533-position model. The record is from RNAcentral.